AAGGUUUUAAGUUAAAAAAACUAAUAAUCUUCAAAAUUAUAUAUAAAGAAAUAUUCUUUAAGCCUUA
Molecule: transfer RNA, 67 nt
Filed under: Paracymoriza prodigalis
Lineage: Eukaryota; Metazoa; Arthropoda; Insecta; Lepidoptera; Crambidae
Description: tRNA-Trp
Source: RNAcentral